GAUGAACGCUGGCGGCGUGCCUAAUACAUGCAAGUCGAGCGAACGGACGAGAAGCUUGCUUCUCUGAUGUUAGCGGCGGACGGGUGAGUAACACGUGGAUAACCUACCUAUAAGACUGGGAUAACUUCGGGAAACCGGAGCUAAUACCGGAUAAUAUUUUGAACCGCAUGGUUCAAAAGUGAAAGACGGUCUUGCUGUCACUUAUAGAUGGAUCCGCGCUGCAUUAGCUAGUUGGUAAGGUAACGGCUUACCAAGGCAACGAUGCAUAGCCGACCUGAGAGGGUGAUCGGCCACACUGGAACUGAGACACGGUCCAGACUCCUACGGGAGACAGCAGUAGGGAAUCUUCCGCAAUGGGCGAAAGCCUGACGGAGCAACGCCGCGUGAGUGAUGAAGGUCUUCGGAUCGUAAAACUCUGUUAUUAGGGAAGAACAUAUGUGUAAGUAACUGUGCACAUCUUGACGGUACCUAAUCAGAAUGCCACGGCUAACUACGUG
This 497-nucleotide ribosomal RNA is filed under the name uncultured bacterium. Its description in RNAcentral is "partial 16S ribosomal RNA". It matches the Rfam family "Bacterial small subunit ribosomal RNA", at positions 28 to 507 of the family's 1533-position model. The record is from RNAcentral.